UACGAAGGGGGCUAGCGUUGCUCGGAAUCACUGGGCGUAAAGGGUGCGUAGGCGGGUCUUUAAGUCAGGGGUGAAACCUCCAGGCUCAACUUGGAGCUUGCAUCUGAAACUGCCGUGCUAGAGUGUGGGAGAGGAGAGUGGAAUUCCUGGUGUAGCGGUGAAAUGCGUAGAUAUCAGGAGGAACACCGGUGGCGAAGGCGGCUCUCUGGACCACAACUGACGCUGAGGCGCGAAAGCUAGGGGAGCAAACAGG
This 253-nucleotide ribosomal RNA is filed under the name uncultured bacterium. Its description in RNAcentral is "partial 16S ribosomal RNA". It matches the Rfam family "Bacterial small subunit ribosomal RNA", at positions 524 to 776 of the family's 1533-position model. The record is from RNAcentral.